RNAcentral lists this long non-coding RNA (223 nucleotides) under Lathyrus oleraceus (garden pea). RNAcentral describes it as "Pisum sativum (pea) long non-coding RNA (PSAT_LNC014400)". Lineage: Eukaryota; Viridiplantae; Streptophyta; Magnoliopsida; Fabales; Fabaceae. The record is from RNAcentral.
GAGGCUCACCUAAAUUCGUUACCAUCACCAUAGGUAACUCUUCAUUAAUUCAUCAUAAUAGGAAUUAGCUACUCGCACCGAUCCAUCACCAUAGGAUCGAGGCUCACCAAAAGAACCAAAUUUAUGUCAACAUGAAUACAUGGACUCUCAACAUACAACAACAUGUACACAUGACCUCUCUUCUGAUUGGGCAUGCCACCAUCAACAUAAUUCACAUAAACAA